GAACUGAAACAUCUAAGUAGCCGGAGGAAAAGGAAUCAACAGAGAUACCCCUAGUAGCGGCGAGCGAACGGGGCAGAGCCCAAACCGGAAUGGGAAACCAAUCCGGGGUUGUGGACUGCUAUCAAAUGCAUGAGUGAAGCAGAAUGAGCUGGGAAGCUCAGCCAGAGAGAGUGAGAGCCUCGUAGGCGUAAGCAAGUGCAUGGAGCAGGAUCCGGAGUACCACGGGACACGAGAAACCCUGUGGGAAGCUGGGGGGACCACCCUCCAAGGCGAAACACUGAUAUGGACCGAUAGCGCAUAGUACCGUGAGGGAAAGGUGAAAAGAACCCCGGGAGGGGAAUGAAAGAGAACCUGAAACCGUAUGUCUACAAGCAGUCGAAGACCUUUAUAUGGUCGACGGCGUGCCUAUUGAAGAAUGAACCGGCGAGUUACUUCAGCUAGCGAGGUUAAGCAGAAAAUGCGGAGCCGCAGCGAAAGCGAGUCUGAACAGGGCGUAUAGUUAGUUGGAGUAGACCCGAAACCACAGUGAUCUACCCAUGUCCAGSUGA
RNAcentral lists this ribosomal RNA (548 nucleotides) under Megasphaera sp. NM10. RNAcentral describes it as "bacterial LSU rRNA". It matches the Rfam family "Bacterial large subunit ribosomal RNA", at positions 190 to 749 of the family's 2925-position model. The record is from RNAcentral. Lineage: Bacteria; Bacillati; Bacillota; Negativicutes; Veillonellales; Veillonellaceae.